Long non-coding RNA from Oncorhynchus tshawytscha (Chinook salmon), 892 nucleotides. Lineage: Eukaryota; Metazoa; Chordata; Actinopteri; Salmoniformes; Salmonidae. The record is from Ensembl.
GUGUGUUUGAAUAUAUCUCUGUAUUUCAAGAGUCUUUUGUGGAUUCACAGACACACACUCUAGUCUGUUAUUAACAGUGUCUGUCCCAGAAGGCAGAGUCUGUCCCAGCAAGAAGAAGGUAGUGUCUGUCCCAGAAGGCAGAGUCUGUCCCAGCAAGAAGAAGGUAGUGUCUGCCCCAGCAGGCAGUGUCUGUCCCAGCAAGAAGAAGGUAGUGUCUCUCCCAGCAGGCAAAGCCUGUCCCAGCAAGAAGAAGGUAGUGUCUCUCCCAGCAGGCAGAGUCUGUCCCAGCAAGAAGAAGGUUAUGUCUUUCACACCAGGUUGUACCUGUCCCUGAAGGUAGUGUCUGUUUCACCAAGUAGUGUCUGUCCCAGCAGGUAGUGUCUGUCCCAGCAGGUAGUGUCUGUCCCAGCAGGUAGUGUCUCUCCCAGCAGGUAGUGUCUGUCUAAGCAGGUAGUGUCUGUCCAAGCAAGUAGAAGGUAGUGACUGUCCCAGCAGGUAGUGACUGUCCCAGCAGGUAGUGACUGUCUCAGCAGGUAGUGUCUGUCCAACCAGGUAGUGUCUGUCCAACCAGGUAGUGUCUGUCCAACCAGGUAGUGUCUGUCCAACCAGGUAGUGUCUGUCCAACCAGGUAGUGUCUGUCCCGGAAGUUAGUGUCUGUCCUAGAAGUUAGUGUAUGUCCCAGAAGUGAUUGUCUGUCCCAGAAGUUAGUGUCUGUCCCAGCAGGUGGAAGGUAGUGUCUACUCCAGAAGGCAGUAUCUAUCCCAGCAGGUAGUUUCUGUCCCAGCAGGUUGUGUCUGUCAAAUCAGGUGGUUUCUGGCCCAGCAGGUAGUGUCUGGCCCAGCAGGUUGUGUCUGUCAAAUCAGGUGGUUUCUGGCCCAGCAGCUAGUGUCUG